CGGCGGCGUCCUGGGGCCAGGGGGGUGCGCCUUUCUUCGCGUCGGGGCGGCCCGGCGCCCGGUGGCGCGGCGCGGGAGGGGUUUUCUGGUGCGUCCUGGUCCACCAUGGCCAAACCAACAAGCAAAGAUUCAGGCUUGAAGGAGAAGUUUAAGAUUCUGUUGGGACUGGGAACACCGAGGCCAAAUCCCAGGUCUGCAGAGGGUAAACAGACGGAGUUUAUCAUCACCGCGGAAAUACUGAGAGAACUGAGCAUGGAAUGUGGCCUCAACAAUCGCAUCCGGAUGAUAGGGCAGAUUUGUGAAGUUGCAAAAACCAAGAAAUUUGAAGAGCACGCAGUGGAAGCACUUUGGAAGGCGGUCGCGGAUCUGUUGCAGCCGGAGCGGCCACUGGAGGCCCGGCACGCGGUGCUGGCUCUGCUGAAGGCCAUCGUGCAGGGACAGGUAAGGCCCGGGGCGACGCUGGGAUGGGUGAUGUCAGGCCGCCCACUGACUGUCCUGUCCCUGCUGGGCCAUGUUUGGACUCCUGCCUCGGUGAGUUGCUGGGCACAGGGUCUAGGGGCUGAUGGGCUCUGGAGCUGGACGGCCUGUGGGGUCUCCUGGUGUCAUGAGGUCUGUGUGACCGUGGGCACUGCCUCCUCGCCUGUAAACAGAGAGUCACUGCACCUUCUUCUUAUGGAAUGUUCUGGGGAUCAUAUGAGGCAGUUCUCGCAGAGUGCUGAUACCGUACCUGGCAGCUGGUGUGGGGCUACAGUGUUGUUUUGCCCUUGCACCCUUUCGGGGCUGCUCCCCUACUCACUGCGUUCCAGCUGUGCUGGUCUUGGCUGACCCUGAACACCCAGACCUCUUGGUGUUCCUGCCUCCCCUGGUCGGCCACUUCUACUUCUUCAUGUCCCAGCUGCUCAGAAGGGCCAUCCACUCUCACAGGCUCUCCUGGGCUUCCCCCACUCAGGCUUUGUCCUCAGUUUCUGAGCACAAGGCUGUCUGCCCCGCACCGAGUGCAGGGGUCAUGCAGGAGCUGUGUCGUCCCCUGCUCUGCGCCACCCACUGUGCCAGGUCCCGACACACAGCAUU
RNAcentral lists this small RNA (1071 nucleotides) under Pongo abelii (Sumatran orangutan). Its description in RNAcentral is "retained intron". The record is from RNAcentral. Lineage: Eukaryota; Metazoa; Chordata; Mammalia; Primates; Hominidae.